UGGGGAAUUUUGGACAAUGGGGGAAACCCUGAUCCAGCCAUCCGCGUGUGCGAUGAAGGCCUUCGGGUUGUAAAGCACUUUUGGCAGGAAAGAAACGUCAUGGGUUAAUACCCCGUGAAACUGACGGUACCUGCAGAAUAAGCACCGGCUAACUACGUGCCAGCAGCCGCGGUAAUACGUAGGGUGCAAGCGUUAAUCGGAAUUACUGGGCGUAAAGCGUGCGCAGGCGGUUCGGAAAGAAAGAUGUGAAAUCCCAGAGCUCAACUUUGGAACUGCAUUUUUAACUACCGGGCUAGAGUGUGUCAGAGGGAGGUGGAAUUCCGCGUGUAGCAGUGAAAUGCGUAGAUAUGCGGAGGAACACCGAUGGCGAAGGCAGCCUCCUGGGAUAACACUGACGCUCAUGCACGAAAGCGUGGGGAGCAAACAGG
RNAcentral lists this ribosomal RNA (428 nucleotides) under Acidobacteriota bacterium. RNAcentral describes it as "Acidobacteria bacterium partial 16S ribosomal RNA". It matches the Rfam family "Bacterial small subunit ribosomal RNA", at positions 355 to 776 of the family's 1533-position model. The record is from RNAcentral. Lineage: Bacteria; Pseudomonadati; Acidobacteriota.